RNAcentral lists this ribosomal RNA (537 nucleotides) under uncultured Cyphobasidiales. RNAcentral describes it as "eukaryotic LSU rRNA". It matches the Rfam family "Eukaryotic large subunit ribosomal RNA", at positions 65 to 616 of the family's 3401-position model. The record is from RNAcentral. Lineage: Eukaryota; Fungi; Basidiomycota; Cystobasidiomycetes; Cyphobasidiales.
CUAACAAGGAUUCCCCUAGUAACGGCGAGUGAAGUGGGAAAAGCUCAACUUUGUAAUCUGGCAGCUUCGCUGUCCGAGUUGUAGUCUCGAGAAGUGUUUUCCGCGCGGGAAUGUGUAUGAGUCUGUUGGAAUACAGCGUCAUAGAGGGUGAGAACCCCGUUCAUGACACAACUACCUGUGCUUUGUGAUACGCUUUCGAUGAGUCGAGUUGUUUGGGAAUGCAGCUCAAAAUGGGUGGUAAAUUCCAUCUAAAGCUAAAUAUUGGCGAGAGACCGAUAGCAAACAAGUACCGUGAGGGAAAGAUGAAAAGCACUUUGGAAAGAGAGUUAAAAGUACGUGAAAUUGUUGAAAGGGAAACGCUUGAAGUCAGACGUGCACGGUACUCGUUACCACUGCAGGCUAGCAUCGGUUUCACGAGCCGGAUAAAGGUUAGAGGAAGGUGGCAGUUUCGGCUGUGUUAUAGCCUUUAACUGAAUACGGAUUGUGAGACCGAGGGACGCAGCGCGCCGCAAGGCAAAGGAUUCGUUCUUUUCGCGU